This 254-nucleotide ribosomal RNA is filed under the name uncultured bacterium. RNAcentral describes it as "partial 16S ribosomal RNA". It matches the Rfam family "Bacterial small subunit ribosomal RNA", at positions 524 to 776 of the family's 1533-position model. The record is from RNAcentral.
GACGAACCGUGCGAACGUUAUUCGGAAUCACUGGGCUUAAAGGGCGCGUAGGCGGGAUCGCAAGUCUGCGGUGAAAGCCUCCAGCUUAACUGGAGAAGUGCCGUGGAUACUGCGGUUCUUGAGGAGGGUAGGGGCAUCUGGAACGUUGGGUGGAGCGGUGAAAUGCGUUGAUAUCCAACGGAACUCCGGUGGCGAAGGCGAGGUGCUGGACCCUUUCUGACGCUGAGUGCGCGAAAGCCAGGGGAGCGAACGGG